RNAcentral lists this ribosomal RNA (301 nucleotides) under uncultured bacterium. RNAcentral's name for it is "partial 16S ribosomal RNA". It matches the Rfam family "Bacterial small subunit ribosomal RNA", at positions 509 to 807 of the family's 1533-position model. The record is from RNAcentral.
CAGUCGCCACGGUAAUACGAAGGUCCCGAGCGUUGUUCGGAACCACUGGGCGUAAAGGGAGCGUAGGCGGCGUGGUAAGUCAGAUGUGAAAUCCCGGGGCUCAACCCCGGAACUGCAUCCGAUACUGCCAUGCUAGAGGAUUGGAGAGGUAGCUGGAAUUCUUGGUGUAGCAGUGAAAUGCGUGGAGAUCAAGAGGAACACUCGUGGCGAAAGCGAGCUACUGGACAAUAACUGACGCUGAGGCUCGAAGGCCAGGGUAGCGAAAGGGAUUAGAGACCCGUGUAGUCCCUGUCUCUUAUAC